This 253-nucleotide ribosomal RNA is filed under the name uncultured bacterium. RNAcentral describes it as "partial 16S ribosomal RNA". It matches the Rfam family "Bacterial small subunit ribosomal RNA", at positions 524 to 776 of the family's 1533-position model. The record is from RNAcentral.
UACGGAGGGGGCUAGCGUUGUUCGGAAUUACUGGGCGUAAAGCGCACGUAGGCGGACUGGAAAGUCAGAGGUGAAAUCACAGGGCUCAACCUUGGAACUGCCUUAGAAACUCACGGUCUUGAGGUCGAGAGAGGUGAGUGGAAUUCCGAGUGUAGAGGUGAAAUUCGUAGAUAUUCGGAGGAACACCAGUGGCGAAGGCGGCUCACUGGCUCGAUACUGACGCUGAGGUGCGAAAGCGUGGGGAGCAAACAGG